RNAcentral lists this ribosomal RNA (421 nucleotides) under uncultured Glomus. RNAcentral's name for it is "SSU rRNA". It matches the Rfam family "Eukaryotic small subunit ribosomal RNA", at positions 548 to 979 of the family's 1831-position model. The record is from RNAcentral. Lineage: Eukaryota; Fungi; Glomeromycota; Glomeromycetes; Glomerales; Glomeraceae.
UUGGAGGGCAAGUCUGGUGCCAGCAGCCGCGGUAAUUCCAGCUCCAAUAGCGUAUAUUAAAGUUGUUGCAGUUAAAAAGCUCGUAGUUGAAUUUCGGGAUCAGUACGCUGGUCGUGCCUUCGGUAUGCACUGGUGUCACUGGUUCCUCCUUCUGACGAACCGUCAUGCCAUUCACUUGGUGUGGCGGGAAAUCAGGACUGUUACUUUGAAAAAUUGAGUGUUUAAAGCAGGCUCACGCUUGAAUACAUUAGCAUGGAAUAAUGAAAUAGGACGUUGAUCUUAUUUGUGGUUUCUAGGAUUGACGUAAUGAUUAAUAGGGAUAGUUGGGGGCAUUAGUAUUCAAUUGUCAGAGGUGAAAUUCUUGGAUUUAUGAAGACUAACUACUGCGUAGAGCAUUUGCCAAGGAUGUUUUCAUUAAUCA